UCCUACGGGGGGCAGCAGUGGGGAAUAUUGCACAAUGGGGGGAACCCUGAUGCAGCGACGCCGCGUGGGCGAGGAAGUAUUUCGGUAUGUAAAGCCCUAUCGGCAGGGAAGAAGAAAUGACGGUACCUGAAUAAGAAGCACCGGCUAAAUACGUGCCAGCAGCCGCGGUAAUACGUAUGGUGCAAGCGUUAUCCGGAUUUACUGGGCGUAAAGGGAGCGCAGGCGGCGCGCCAAGUCUGAUGUGAAACCCCGGGGCUCAACCCCGGGCAUGCAUUGGAAACUGGCGGGCUGGAGUGCCGGAGAGG
This 305-nucleotide ribosomal RNA is filed under the name uncultured bacterium. Its description in RNAcentral is "bacterial SSU rRNA". It matches the Rfam family "Bacterial small subunit ribosomal RNA", at positions 337 to 657 of the family's 1533-position model. The record is from RNAcentral.